RNAcentral lists this transfer-messenger RNA (353 nucleotides) under Acidobacteriota bacterium. It matches the Rfam family "transfer-messenger RNA". Rfam says of the family: Bacterial tmRNA, also known as 10Sa RNA or SsrA, is named for its dual tRNA and mRNA-like properties. Its role is to liberate the mRNA from a stalled ribosome. The record is from RNAcentral. Lineage: Bacteria; Pseudomonadati; Acidobacteriota.
GGGGGCGUCACGGCUUCGACGGGAUUGCUUGUGGCAGAGAGGCAUGCCGGGGUGUGGACACCCGUAAUCGCUCACAAAAUCAUAAGUGCCGAACCUCAAUUCGCGCUUGCUGCUUAAUAUUUAAGUAGCCGAUCGCUUCCCCUUCGCCUACGGGGGGAUACCGAUCGUCGCACAGUAGGCUGGCCCAAGGAGUUCCGUCUGGACGCCGAGGGCGAGAUCAAUCAGGCUGGUCGGUAUCGCGUCUUCGCCCGUUCUGAGCGACGCUGACGAGACAAAUCGGAACGCGGAAAAGCAUGAAUGCUCUCUGUUGGAAGUUUUUUCGGACGCGGGUUCGACUCCCGCCGCCUCCACCA